Non-coding RNA from Trichinella murrelli, 46 nucleotides. Lineage: Eukaryota; Metazoa; Nematoda; Enoplea; Trichinellida; Trichinellidae. The record is from Rfam.
CCAACGGUCCUUAUCAGGACCACUAUCUAUUGAUAUUUUUUUCUCU